This 253-nucleotide ribosomal RNA is filed under the name uncultured bacterium. RNAcentral's name for it is "partial 16S ribosomal RNA". It matches the Rfam family "Bacterial small subunit ribosomal RNA", at positions 524 to 776 of the family's 1533-position model. The record is from RNAcentral.
UACGAAGGGGGCUAGCGUUGCUCGGAAUCACUGGGCGUAAAGGGCUCGUAGGCGGCCUACUAAGUCAUACGUGAAAUCCCUCGGCUUAACCGGGGAACUGCGUCUGAUACUGGAUGGCUUGAGUUCGGGAGAGGGAUGCGGAAUUCCAGGUGUAGCGGUGAAAUGCGUAGAUAUCUGGAGGAACACCGGUGGCGAAGGCGGCAUCCUGGACCGAUACUGACGCUGAGGAGCGAAAGCCAGGGGAGCAAACGGG